Molecule: transfer RNA, 77 nt
Filed under: Sphaerodactylus townsendi
Lineage: Eukaryota; Metazoa; Chordata; Lepidosauria; Squamata; Sphaerodactylidae
Description: tRNA-Leu
Source: RNAcentral
GCCAGAAUGGCGUAGUGGUUAGAGCGCCAGACUAAGGUCCAGGAGGCUUGGGUUCGAAUCCCCACUCUGCAGUGGCA